RNAcentral lists this ribosomal RNA (427 nucleotides) under uncultured bacterium. RNAcentral describes it as "partial 16S ribosomal RNA". It matches the Rfam family "Bacterial small subunit ribosomal RNA", at positions 355 to 774 of the family's 1533-position model. The record is from RNAcentral.
UGGGGAAUAUUGGACAAUGGGGGCAACCCUGAUCCACCCAUGCCGCGUGUGUGAAGAAGGCCUUUUGGUUGUAAAGCACUUUAAGCAGUGAAGAAGACUCCAUGGUUAAUACCCAUGGACGAUGACAUUAGCUGCAGAAUAAGCACCGGCUAACUCUGUGCCAGCAGCCGCGGUAAUACAGAGGGUGCAAGCGUUAAUCGGAAUUACUGGGCGUAAAGCGAGCGUAGGUGGCUUGAUAAGUCAGAUGUGAAAGCCCCGGGCUUAACCUGGGAACGGCAUCUGAUACUGUUAGGCUAGAGUAGGUGAGAGGAAGGUAGAAUUCCAGGUGUAGCGGUGAAAUGCGUAGAGAUCUGGAGGAAUACCGAUGGCGAAGGCAGCCUUCUGGCAUCAUACUGACACUGAGGUUCGAAAGCGUGGGUAGCAAACA